CUGGAAGUGCCAAUACAGCUCAUAAAGUCCCAAGCUCAUAAAGUCUGAGUAUGAAAUUCAGAGACUAGAGUGUCUGAAACAAUACCACACAGAGAAAGAGACAUUCUUUUUCACACUUGGAAAAAACAGCUUUGCAUGAUGGAGUGAGAAUCCUCCCAAGAUGCUUGUCUAGGCGAGAACGUGCAGCUGCUGCCACCUCGUCACAGAUGACGGAUAAUUAGGAUGAUGGAGACUGAAAGCCUCAUCCCAUAGGUGACCCGGAAGAAAGGCCUUGGCAUCCAGACUGGGAAAAGGCUGGAUUCCCCAGAGGAAAUGACUCAGCUGCAGCAACUGAGUGGGCUGUGCGCUCCUGUCUGCUCAUCAUCUACCACUCAUUCCUACAGCAGUAGCAGUCUCUCCUCACAUCCACCUGCCAAAA
RNAcentral lists this long non-coding RNA (418 nucleotides) under Equus caballus (horse). RNAcentral's name for it is "lncRNA (ENSECAG00000046042.1)". The record is from RNAcentral. Lineage: Eukaryota; Metazoa; Chordata; Mammalia; Perissodactyla; Equidae.